UUAACUUGAAGUUAUAAAGGUCGUUUGGCCAUUACUAACAAAAAUACGAAAUUUGAUAAAUGGGCUUUAAUACAUGUUAGAAGACAGAUCCAUAUUUAAAUCAAAUGCCAACAAAAAUAAGGACAACCAUAACCACCAACAACUACCUUCGUCACAAGAAACCACUACGACUGCCACCACCAAACACACCAACAAUACCCAACCCACAACCUCACCAACACCACCCACAUUGCCCCUACCAACAUUGACACUUCCACCACCGCCAAAAACCACCACGACCACCACCACCAAACACACCAACAAAACAUAACCACCACCACCCUCGCCACCUCACAACAACUGAUCAACAAGUGGCGCAUUAGUAGAGCCACAACCACAGAGAUUGGUUAACAAAAGGCCAUUCGAGGCCAUCUUCAUUGCUGCAGGGAGCGUCGAUCUGAGGCCAAACACAAUUCGUCGUAGCGAUGUUCAGAUCCAAGCACCGGGAUAGAGAGCCAAGCAUCACCACAAAUCCAAGCACCGACACAGAGAGCUAAGCAUCACCACAGCGUAGAAGGUGGUGGGAUCCUAGAGAAGGUGAUCGACACAGCGCUGUAAUGAUGAUACCAAAGUCACGGUGCUUAGAUUUCGCGGCGACGCUCAUCGCAGUGAGGCAAGGCGAGCAGUACUCAUAUUUACCGGUGCUUUAGAGAGAAUGAAGGUAGAGAGAAACACAGGACCACGCACACACCUUCGACGUGGAUCACCUAACCUACAACAGAGACAUGGAGAUGGGAGAGGAGAGAGUGAAGAGAGAGAGG
Molecule: long non-coding RNA, 800 nt
Filed under: Olea europaea (common olive)
Lineage: Eukaryota; Viridiplantae; Streptophyta; Magnoliopsida; Lamiales; Oleaceae
Description: long non-coding RNA (OEUR_LNC005613)
Source: RNAcentral